UAGGGAAUCUUCCGCAAUGGACGAAAGUCUGACGGAGCAACGCCGCGUGAGUGAAGAAGGAUUUCGGUUCGUAAAACUCUGUUGUUAGGGAAGAAAAAAUGUAUAGUAACUAUAUACAAAAGAGACGGUACCUAACCAGAAAGCCACGGCUAACUACGCGCCAGCAGCCGCGGUAAUACGUAGGUGGCAAGCGUUGUCCGGAAUUAUUGGGCGUAAAGCGCGCGCAGGUGGUUUAGAAAGUCUGAUGUGAAAGCCCACGGCUCAACCGUGGAGGGUCAUUGGAAACUAAUAAACUUGAGUGCAGGAGAGAAAAGUGGAAUUCCUAGUGUAGCGGUGAAAUGCGUAGAGAUUAGGAGGAACACCGGUGGCGAAAGCGGCUUUUUGGCCUGCAACUGACACUGAGGCGCGAAAGCGUGGGGAGCAAACAGG
Molecule: ribosomal RNA, 429 nt
Filed under: Verrucomicrobiota bacterium
Lineage: Bacteria; Pseudomonadati; Verrucomicrobiota
Description: Verrucomicrobia bacterium partial 16S ribosomal RNA
Rfam family: Bacterial small subunit ribosomal RNA
Source: RNAcentral